This 408-nucleotide ribosomal RNA is filed under the name uncultured Gammaproteobacteria bacterium. RNAcentral's name for it is "bacterial SSU rRNA". It matches the Rfam family "Bacterial small subunit ribosomal RNA", at positions 9 to 419 of the family's 1533-position model. Lineage: Bacteria; Pseudomonadati; Pseudomonadota; Gammaproteobacteria. The record is from RNAcentral.
GAGUUUGAUCGUGGCUCAGAGUGAACGCUGGCGGCAGGCCUAACACAUGCAAGUCGAGCGGCAGCGCGGGGGCAACCCUGGCGGCGAGCGGCGGACGGGUGAGGAAUGCAUCGGAAUCUACCUCGUUGUGGGGGAUAACCUCGGGAAACCGGGACUAAUACCGCAUACGACCUACGGGUGAAAGUGGGGGACCGCAAGGCCUCACGCGAUGAGAUGAGCCGAUGCCGGAUUAGCUAGUUGGCGGGGUAAAAGCCCACCAAGGCGACGAUCCGUAGCUGGUCUGAGAGGACGACCAGCCACACUGGAACUGAGACACGGUCCAGACUCCUACGGGAGGCAGCAGUGGGGAAUUUUGGACAAUGGGGGCAACCCUGAUCCAGCCAUGCCGCGUGAGUGAAGAAGGCCUUC